This 72-nucleotide transfer RNA is filed under the name Salmo salar (Atlantic salmon). It matches the Rfam family "tRNA". Rfam says of the family: Transfer RNA (tRNA) molecules are approximately 80 nucleotides in length. Their secondary structure includes four short double-helical elements and three loops (D, anti-codon, and T loops). The record is from Rfam by way of RNAcentral. Lineage: Eukaryota; Metazoa; Chordata; Actinopteri; Salmoniformes; Salmonidae.
GGGGAUGUAGCUCAGCAGAAGUGCGCAUGUUUUUUAUGUAUGAGGACCCGGCUUCAAUCCCUGGCAUCUACA